Molecule: long non-coding RNA, 961 nt
Organism: Perca flavescens (yellow perch)
Lineage: Eukaryota; Metazoa; Chordata; Actinopteri; Perciformes; Percidae
Exons: 4
Source: RefSeq, a predicted model, not a curated record
CAGGCGUACCCCAGUCACCCCACAUCGUCUCUCGGGGACUCGGCAUCGGACCAGCGGCUAGUUUUCUCCUAAACUACACUCUGGCUCCUGGGGCAGGGAGGCGAGAAAACUACUUCCAGCUGUUCCACAAGGGCAGCUGGAAAAUGCGCAGUCCAAGGUGUUGAGAGUCUUUUAAUAUUUUACUUGGCAGGUAAAACCAAGGGUCAGACUGAAUUGUUCAGUUGGCUGUUCAUAAGGAAUAUUGAUGGCAUCAAAAAAUACACAGCCCACCUCCAGUCCGUAGGCAAGACCAUCACAUACAUGAGUUCCUCGAAUACUUUGGGGAAACCCUACCUGCCCAGUCUCUGAAUGCGAUGGAUGUGGCGAGAGUGCUGCACAGGGGAUUUUGUGAUCUCUGGAAUAUAAGACUCUUGGACACUGAUGAGUUUCGCUGGCUGGAGAGGUGUCUGGAGCUGCAGGCAGCCAGCAAGUUCCUUUUUUACUUAAAAUGACACAACUAUAAUACUGAGCACACUUAGCCUAAACAUGAAGCUAUGAACACCAAAUUGGUCAGGUAUUCUUAACACAGGCUCACCUUUGAGUUUGAAAAGGUUCAAAGUAUCUCGCUUUAUUAAAUUACAUAGAUAUCCAGUGCAAUAUUUAACAACUGUCAUAGAGUGAAUGGAAACUUCCCCAGUUUCCUCACUGUCAUUUCUUUUAGGGACAGACUACUGCUAUCUAAUAUCUGGAACCAGCUUGGUUUAGUAGAGCACUCUCCACUGUACAACACAUCCAAAUUUUAUAGUCAUAACUCAUUUCAAAGUGUUUUUAUUGUGACCAGAAAUCCUCCUUACACGUCAAUAACCUAAUUUUAAAAAAAUGACAUUUGUCACACUCAUGACAGGGAACUCAGGGUAGGGCUGCCCAAUUAAUCAAAUUUUAAUCACAAUCACGAUUUUGGCUUCACGCGAUCAAAUUUGCG